Molecule: transfer RNA, 85 nt
Filed under: Candidatus Portiera aleyrodidarum (primary endosymbiont of Bemisia tabaci)
Lineage: Bacteria; Pseudomonadati; Pseudomonadota; Gammaproteobacteria; Johnevansiales (SeqCode); Johnevansiaceae (SeqCode)
Rfam family: tRNA
About the family: Transfer RNA (tRNA) molecules are approximately 80 nucleotides in length. Their secondary structure includes four short double-helical elements and three loops (D, anti-codon, and T loops).
Source: Rfam by way of RNAcentral
GCCCGAAUGGCGGAAUUGGUAGACGCAGGGGACUUAAAAUCCCCCGCUUUUAUAUGGCGUGCUGGUUCGAGUCCGGCUUCGGGUA